RNAcentral lists this ribosomal RNA (162 nucleotides) under Triticum aestivum (bread wheat). RNAcentral's name for it is "partial small subunit ribosomal RNA". Lineage: Eukaryota; Viridiplantae; Streptophyta; Magnoliopsida; Poales; Poaceae. The record is from RNAcentral.
GCUCAUUUAAGACUUAACCGAAUGAUUACCCAACAGGUAAAAUGAGCUUUUGUUUCCUCUCAUCGAGAUAGAGGUAGGCAAAAGAGGGAUUUUCGUCGUUUAUGGAUCACUCGGAUAAACGGAGCAACGCGGCUUGCAAUUGCUCAGGAUACCAUCUUUUAG